AAUAAUGCAUUGAACAAGAGAGUAGUGAAUCGUGGUUUUAUAGCAAGCUGGUGUUGAUGGAAGACCGGUAAACGACGUGUAGCGAAAGUAGCUUGUUGGCAGGUUUGCUGAAUCCGCUUGAGUGAUGAGCGUUAGUAGGUGAAUUCGGGUCACGUCCGUUAAACCGUGCUUGAGUGGGGUAGCAUUACCCAAUUUAGGUGGUACCGCGAUAAAUCGUCCUAAUU
RNAcentral lists this non-coding RNA (224 nucleotides) under Furfurilactobacillus rossiae. RNAcentral's name for it is "Lactobacillus rossiae T-box sequence". It matches the Rfam family "T-box leader". From Rfam's summary of the family: Uncharged tRNA acts as the effector for transcription antitermination of genes in the T-box leader family. The record is from RNAcentral. Lineage: Bacteria; Bacillati; Bacillota; Bacilli; Lactobacillales; Lactobacillaceae.